This 443-nucleotide ribosomal RNA is filed under the name uncultured bacterium. Its description in RNAcentral is "partial 16S ribosomal RNA". It matches the Rfam family "Bacterial small subunit ribosomal RNA", at positions 338 to 795 of the family's 1533-position model. The record is from RNAcentral.
CCUACGGGAGGCAGCAGUGGGGAAUAUUGGGCAAUGGGCGCAAGCCUGACCCAGCAACGCCGCGUGAAGGAAGAAGGCUUUCGGGUUGUAAACUUCUUUUCUCAGGGACGAAGCAAGUGCCGUUCCCUUCGGAUUAAGCCCGGCCUAACUACGUGCCAGCAGCCGCGGUAAUACGUAGGUGGCAAGCGUUAUCCGGAUUUACUGGGUGUAAAGGGCGUGUAGGCGGGAAAGCAAGUCAGAUGUGAAAACCAUGGGCUGAACCUGUGGCUUGCAUUUGAAACUGUUUUUCUUGAGUACUGGAGAGGCAGACGGAAUUCCUAGUGUAGCGGUGAAAUGCGUAGAUAUUAGGAGGAACACCAGUGGCGAAGGCGGUCUGCUGGACAGCAACUGACGCUGAGGCGCGAAAGCGUGGGGAGCAAACAGGAUUAGAUACCCGAGUAGUC